GACGAACGCUGGCGGCGUGCUUAACACAUGCCAGUCGAACGGAAAGGCCCUGCUUUUGUGGGGUGCUCGAGUGGCGAACGGGUGAGUAACAAGUGAGUAACCUGCCCUUGACUUUGGGAUAACUUCAGGAAACUGGGGCUAAUACCGGAUAGGAGCUCCUGCUGCAUGGUGGGGGUUGGAAAGUUUCGGCGGUUGGGGAUGGACUCGCGGCUUAUCAGCUUGUUGGUGGGGUAGUGGCUUACCAAGGCUUUGACGGGUAGCCGGCCUGAGAGGGUGACCGGCCACAUUGGGACUGAGAUACGGCCCAGACUCCUACGGGAGGCAGCAGUGGGGAAUAUUGCACAAUGGGCGGAAGCCUGAUGCAGCAACGCCGCGUGCGGGAUGACGGCCUUCGGGUUGUAAACCGCUUUCGCCUGUGACGAAGCGUGAGUGACGGUAAUGGGUAAAGAAGCACCGGCUAACUACGUG
This 468-nucleotide ribosomal RNA is filed under the name uncultured bacterium. Its description in RNAcentral is "partial 16S ribosomal RNA". It matches the Rfam family "Bacterial small subunit ribosomal RNA", at positions 28 to 507 of the family's 1533-position model. The record is from RNAcentral.